AGGGUGUAAACGCUGCAGACUUGGUGUUGGGAACCCUUCGGGGGUGCUCAGUGCCGGAGAGAAGUUGUUAAGUCUGCUACUUGGGGUGUACGUCCGCAAGGAUGAAACUUAAAGGAAUUGGCGGGGGAGCACCGCAACGGGAGGAGCGUGCGGUUUAAUUGGAUUCAACGCCGAAAAACUCACCAGCAGCGACUGUUACAUGAAAGUCAGGUUGAUGACCUUACUAGAUUUCAGAGAGGAGGUGCAUGGCGUCAGUGACU
This 260-nucleotide ribosomal RNA is filed under the name uncultured archaeon. Its description in RNAcentral is "partial 16S ribosomal RNA". It matches the Rfam family "Archaeal small subunit ribosomal RNA", at positions 748 to 1008 of the family's 1478-position model. The record is from RNAcentral.